ACAUGCACCGAUCAGAGGAAUCCACUUGUUUACAUAUUAUGCAGUCACAUUUGCUUUAUUUUAUGUUGAAAAUGUUUAAUUACACUUUAUUAGAGGAAAUUUGUUGAUCCUGAGGUGAAUGCGGUUGUGGAGUCCGCCACCAGGGGGCAGUGUGGCGUGAAGGCAGAGUGAACCGCGUUGCAGCUUCCGCUGGUUCCUGAUUCAUCAUUUCUGCUGUUCAUUCAGGAAUCUGAAGGCGAUGAAGGAACGUGUCUGGAAUCUGGAGAAUUCCCCUGCAGCUCAGCCCUUUGCUUCCCUCCUGCCUGGUUCUGGUUCUGGUUCUGUCACCUGAUUGGUGGAUCAGACGGACAGCCAGCGGCUCGACGCCGCAGCGAAACUUUCUGCAGGAUCCAAACAUGCUGCAGGAUUCCUGCAUCAAACAUGGAGGGAAAAACUCACCUGUCCAGUUUCCUCUGAUCAGAGCAGAAACUGGACCGACGUAUCGACUGUUUAGUCUCACUGCUGUCUGAGGAAAGUGUCUCUGUCCCUCGUCCAGCGGCAUGAAGAGGGAAACGAAACACCUUGACUUUCACUUUUCCUUGCGAAACUUCAAGCCAUGAGAAUCCAGCAGCAGCGACGACGACGAUGAUGAUGAUGAUGAUGAUGAUGCAGCCAGUCACGUCGCCGUUUCCUGCGGCGCUCAGGAAAAAGAAGCGAACCCAGAGCUGAGCCCAGAGGCACCCCUGGAUUAAUCUGAAAGGUUAACGGAGAACCGCAGCUGGAGCCUCCACACACACCAGAACCAGAACCGGGCUGGGUUUGUCCUCAUCAGUCUGGAGGAAGGCUGUCGGUCUGUGUUUUCUGUUAAAAUCAU
Molecule: long non-coding RNA, 853 nt
Organism: Poecilia reticulata (guppy)
Lineage: Eukaryota; Metazoa; Chordata; Actinopteri; Cyprinodontiformes; Poeciliidae
Source: RefSeq, a predicted model, not a curated record